UACUUUCGUUCGGACCUCCGAUCAAGCAAGAGGACCCGCUGAAUUUAAGCAUAUAACUAAGCGGAGGAAAAGAAACUAACCAGGAUUCCCCCAGUAACGGCGAGUGAAGCGGGAAGAGCUCACGUUGUAAAUCUGACUUCGGUCCGAAUUGUAGUCUGGAGAGGCGAGACCAGCCGGCGGCGGGGGCGAAGUCUCUUGGAAAAGAGCAUCAAGGAGGGUGACAAUCCCGUUCUUGCCCCCAUCUCGUCGCGCGUACGGUCCGUUUUCUACGAGUCGAGUUGCUUGGGAUUGCAGCUCAAAGCGGGUGGUAAAUUCCAUCUAAAGCUAAACACGGGUGGGAGACCGAUAGCGAACAAGUACCGUGAGGGAAAGAUGCAAAGAACUUUGAAAAGAGAGUUAAAGAGUGCGUGAAAUUGCUGAAAGGGAAGCGAAGGAAACCAGUGUCUGGCGUUUUCGCUUACCUUUUGCCCCUCGGGGCAUUGGAUUGCGUUUAUGUCGUGGCCAGGGCCGGGUAGAGUUGCGGGAGCCUGCGCCUCGGAAGGUAGCUCGUCCUCGGACGGUGAAUACCGUGGUGUGUCGUCGCGAUUCUGGCCGGUUCUGACGAAAUGGUUUUCUUCACCCCGUCU
RNAcentral lists this ribosomal RNA (626 nucleotides) under Splachnidium rugosum. RNAcentral's name for it is "LSU rRNA". It matches the Rfam family "Eukaryotic large subunit ribosomal RNA", at positions 1 to 654 of the family's 3401-position model. The record is from RNAcentral. Lineage: Eukaryota; Phaeophyceae; Scytothamnales.